This is a long non-coding RNA of Canis lupus familiaris (dog), 513 nucleotides long. RefSeq lists it as uncharacterized. The record is from RefSeq and is a predicted model, not a curated record. The transcript has 2 exons. NCBI's taxonomy places the organism in Eukaryota, Metazoa, Chordata, Mammalia, Carnivora, Canidae.
CCCGCCCUGCCCGCGGGGGACCCCUCGGCGCCCCCUCCUGAGCGGGCCCCGACGCGCCCGGAGCGCAGAGGCAGGCGUGGGGCGCCCCUGGCCGCUCCUCCCCGCGACCCCGCAACUCUGCAGACGCGGUGGGAGUUGAUCCUGCCAGGCUAGACUUUGCAGGGCAGCCCGGCCCGGAAAACACCCAGGCGCCGAGACGGAGAAGGGCGACGGCUUUAUUUUACACUACCAGAAGUGAGUGGUUGCCGGGCGAGAGGGUUGCGUAUCAGCUCUUCGUUCUCAACACCAACAAGCACCUGCUUGGCCCACCCAAGGGGUCUUGAAUUCCCCCGCUCCCCUCCCCCCGCUGCCUUUCAGCGGGCUGCCUUGGGUCUGUGCCGAGGAAUAAGCCCCAACAUUAGCAACUGAAGAAGAACACGGAGAUUCUUCUACGCUCGCCUUCCUUGUCCUCUCACUUUGAAGCAUUGGCAACAAUUUUCACAAAGUUGUUUUUGCAGAAAAUGUUGACCUUUA